This 460-nucleotide ribosomal RNA is filed under the name uncultured bacterium. RNAcentral describes it as "partial 16S ribosomal RNA". It matches the Rfam family "Bacterial small subunit ribosomal RNA", at positions 338 to 795 of the family's 1533-position model. The record is from RNAcentral.
CCUACGGGAGGCAGCAGUGAGGAAUAUUGGUCAAUGGGCUUACGCCUGAACCAGCCAAGUCGCGUGAGGGAAGACUGCCCUAUGGGUUGUAAACCUCUUUUGUCAGGGAGCAACGCCGGCUACGUGUAGCCGGACUGAGAGUACCUGAAGAAAAAGCAUCGGCUAACUCCGUGCCAGCAGCCGCGGUAAUACGGAGGAUGCGAGCGUUAUCCGGAUUUAUUGGGUUUAAAGGGUGCGUAGGCGGAAUGCCAAGUCAGCGGUAAAAUCGCGGGGCUCAACCUCGCACCGCCGUUGAAACUGGCGUGCUUGAGUGCAGGAGAGGAAAGUGGAAUUCCUAGUGGAGCGGUGAAAUGCGUAGAUAUUAGGAGGAACACCAGUGGCGAAGGCGACUUUCUGGACUGUACCUGACGCUGAGGCGCGAAAGCGUGGGUAGCGAACGGGAUUAGAUACCCGGGUAGUC